Oryctolagus cuniculus (rabbit) is the source of this 285-nucleotide non-coding RNA. The record is from RefSeq and is a predicted model, not a curated record. Lineage: Eukaryota; Metazoa; Chordata; Mammalia; Lagomorpha; Leporidae.
CUAAGCGUUUCUUCUUCCCUCCCCGUACGCCCCUAGGUACUUCUCUCUUUUGGGAAUACAUAAACACGUAGGCACAAUCUGUCGUGGUUGUUUCUGGCUGCCCUGUCUUCUGAGCUCCGCGGGACUCCAGCUCUGUGCCCUGAACGGGGCACCUGUGCACCCAGGGUUACUGUAACAAUGUAGCACCAACUUGUCGACUUCAAACAACAGAAAUCUGCCCUCUUACAAUGUUGGAGACUACAAAGAGGCGCUGGUGAGACAGCUUCCAGCAUUUGGUCCAUGCAG